RNAcentral lists this ribosomal RNA (231 nucleotides) under uncultured bacterium. RNAcentral describes it as "partial 16S ribosomal RNA". It matches the Rfam family "Bacterial small subunit ribosomal RNA", at positions 524 to 750 of the family's 1533-position model. The record is from RNAcentral.
UACGAAGGGGGCGAGCGUUGUUCGGAUUUACUGGGCGUAAAGGGCGCGCAGGCGGCAGACCAAGUCAGGCGUGAAAGCCCCGGGCUUAACCGUGGGAGGCUGGCGUCUGGGACUGGUAUGCUAGAGUUCGGGAGAGGAGAGUGGAAUUCCCAGUGUAGAGGUGAAAUUCGUAGAUAUUGGGAAGAACACCGGUGGCGAAGGCGGCUCUCUGGACCGAGACUGACGCGUGAG